GCCUCUGGAUAGCGACCUGCAGACUCGGACGGAAGGCUCUGUCCUGUGAAGGCCUCCCCGCCCCCUUGCUGGGAGAGCCCUGCUGUUGGCGCCUGAGCACACGGAUGGCGCAGAGGAUGCAGGAGCUCUGUGGUCUGAGUGGCAUUGUCAUUGACUGACGGACACGGUCCCGGACGGCGCAGGAGGUGGCCGCGAUGGGCAGACGGGCUCCCCACUGCAGAGGGGACCUCCAGGUGACCGGCUCUGCCUCUAGGACGCUGGGGCGUGGAGGCAUCUGAAUGCUGUU
Talpa occidentalis (Iberian mole) is the source of this 286-nucleotide long non-coding RNA. RefSeq lists it as uncharacterized. The transcript has 3 exons. The record is from RefSeq and is a predicted model, not a curated record. NCBI's taxonomy places the organism in Eukaryota, Metazoa, Chordata, Mammalia, Eulipotyphla, Talpidae.